AUAAAUUGAUCCUUUAUGUCAGCAAAGUUUUUACUAGACACAGUUUUUCUUCAAGAUGUGUUUGGUUAGUGGAACUAGAGUAAAUAUUUCAUAGGACGAUAGCAGUAAAACUGAGUGGCAUGCAAAUACCUUCAUUGAUCUUGGACUUUCUGACUAGACAUCAUAAUGAAAGACACACUGGGAACUCGUGAGAGGAUGACUGGUCACUGUCCACUGUGAAGCAUUAUAUUGAUAUCCAGAUCCUGGGCCUGAAGUACUUCUGCAGAUAAAACAGAGUCCGCUGGAAAGCUGUGGGAGAUUUGCCCAGGGCUGUGACCAGAUUUUAUUGCUAAACUGAGGUGUUUAAUCAAAAGUCUGAGCAAUAUGAUGGGACACAUGUGACCCAAAGUGUGCACUUGGGAUUGAAAGCUUACCUAUGUAAUCAAGGACGCUGAGAGAGGAGCACCUUACACUGUAAGGGCCAUGUGUUGCAACAGAUUGUGAAAAUUUCAGCAUAGAUGGAAGAUGGUGUUACCAGAUUAUUUACUAGGCCUACUUCAGCUUUGUCCAAGGAAAGAACAAACCAUUGAAAGGAGGAAAAUGUUUCUGAUGAAGCUGUGCCACUGGGCAGAGUGGAAGGAAAGAUUCAUGUGAUUCUUAAGCUAGUGAAGAAGAGCCUGGCACUGUAUUUGG
This 672-nucleotide long non-coding RNA is filed under the name Cyanistes caeruleus (blue tit). RNAcentral describes it as "lncRNA (ENSCCEG00000009162.1)". The record is from RNAcentral. Lineage: Eukaryota; Metazoa; Chordata; Aves; Passeriformes; Paridae.